This 30-nucleotide non-coding RNA is filed under the name Mus musculus (house mouse). Lineage: Eukaryota; Metazoa; Chordata; Mammalia; Rodentia; Muridae. The record is from RNAcentral.
UGCCAAGGAAGCUUAUCUCAAGGGAAAUGC